GGCUCUGUGGCGCAAUGGAUAGCGCAUUGGACUUCUAAGCAAGCACUUCAGCAGUGAUUCAAAGGUUGUGGGUUCGAGUCCCACCGGAGUCG
RNAcentral lists this transfer RNA (92 nucleotides) under Oreochromis niloticus (Nile tilapia). It matches the Rfam family "tRNA". Rfam says of the family: Transfer RNA (tRNA) molecules are approximately 80 nucleotides in length. Their secondary structure includes four short double-helical elements and three loops (D, anti-codon, and T loops). The record is from Rfam by way of RNAcentral. Lineage: Eukaryota; Metazoa; Chordata; Actinopteri; Cichliformes; Cichlidae.